CCCAUGCUAGCAGUGGUGGUGGAAGGCAAGCAGUCUCUGUGCAUGAUCUCCUCUGCGGAGUAGCAGUGGGGCAGAUUGUUCCUGGGGUGCCAUUUACUGGAGGGAUCAAUGGCAUAUUCCCUGAAGCUGCCCCUUUGAAGCGGAUCCGUGAAGGAGGAAAAUUGGGAGACGUCGGCUGACGUGGAGAGCUCGCCCCAGCCCGGCAGGGAGGUGCGGUCACGUGACGCCACGCCAAAUUGACAAGCGGCGGCUCCGGGCCCUCGCCCCUUCGGAGCCGGCUCGGGGGAUGCAACAGAUCGGCACGGCGCCGGGCUCCCCCCAACCCCCCCCCCGGGGUAACGCAGCCCCCCUCCGGGGCAUUGCCCCCCGCUCCGGGGGAUGCCCCCCCGAAGGGUACGGCACCCCCCGGCCGCCCGGUUCCUUGGCGGAGCGGCUUAGCCAUCCCCGCAGGGCUAGGAAUUCCGCUGGCGAUUUGCACACAAACAAGGUGAUUGCAGGAGGCUAAAAUGCUGUCUAAUUCCUCAGAUUCCCAUCGCACGAGAAGGAGGGAAAUAAAAAGAAAAAAAAAAGAAAAAAAAAAAGAAAAAGAAAAAAAAAGAAGUCCAAGUGUUUUUGAUCACGGGACACCCGGCUGUUCCUCCCCAGUACACCCCGGGUCACAGUACAGUAAUGACCGUGGGUUGUGCGUUGUAGGACUUGACCUUUCCUACGUAGAAGAGGGCGCUUUCCUCCGCGCUACGGGGAGGGGAGGGAGGGGGAACGGCGGGAGGAAGGGAGAUGCUCUCUUUGGGGAUGUUUAAUCACAAUUCAGAUCUAGGAACGGGCAAAGCUUCUGCCUUUCAGCACGCCAUGUUGAAGCUAUUCACUGGGAUUUUUUUUUUUUUUUUUUUUUUGGGGGGGGGGCGUGGGUGGGAGACGAGAGGGAGGCCGGAGGGAGGAGGAAAGACUUAAUGAACAUUUGCAUUUCGUAGCCUAGUUCAUGAAUCAACUGCAUUCAAGAGGGAGGGGGCCCGGGGCAGUGAGGCAGGGGGCAGGGAAGGGCUCGCAGCGUGGUUAAAACACCCGCGGCCCUUGCCCGGCCCCCACGGCCCCGCCGGGCCACGAGGGACAGCCGCCCCCGGUCCCCCCCCCCGUCUUCUUGGACUCCUUUACCGUCCGAGGACGCGCAGGGCCAUCUCUUCAAAUCAUCAUUAAAGUGCAUUAAAACGCAUCUAAAAGUUAUGAAUGGCAACAACCGGCCUUUUAGUGCCUGCCAAUAUUUUUUUUGUAUUAAACGCUGUCUUGAUUUUAUUGCUAACCCUGCCCACGGAGAAUGCUGAAAUGCACGAGGAGUGGGGUUUUAUUUAAGCAUUAGCCAGUUCUUUUUUUUUUUUUUUUUUUUUUUCCUAAACUUUAAUUUAUAGGCUAAAGGCCGAGAUGCUUACCCGUUCGUUCUGACGAAUACAAAAUAAAGUCGCUGCUCUGGAAGCGCGGGACGAAUUAUUAUUUUUUUUUUUUUUCCUGAGUAUUUCAAUAUUUAGCACCAUAUUUUUUUUCCUUCUCUUCAGAAGGACUUCUCAGCUAGCUAGCAUUUUUAAGCGGAAGUCUUUCUGAGAAAAAGGCGGAAAAGAUACAGUUUGCAGUUCGAGUUAUCAUUCUAUCAUUCUUUUUCGGAAAUAUGCUCCUGUCAAGGUUUAUUUCCCAUAGCAAACCACCUUUGCUACUGCCAAGAGCUCGAGGCGCGGAUAGAUUAAAUACCGGAUUAUUCUCUUGG
Oxyura jamaicensis (ruddy duck) is the source of this 1753-nucleotide long non-coding RNA. RefSeq lists it as uncharacterized. Lineage: Eukaryota; Metazoa; Chordata; Aves; Anseriformes; Anatidae. The transcript has 3 exons. The record is from RefSeq and is a predicted model, not a curated record.